Molecule: ribosomal RNA, 538 nt
Filed under: uncultured bacterium
Lineage: Bacteria
Description: bacterial SSU rRNA
Rfam family: Bacterial small subunit ribosomal RNA
Source: RNAcentral
AUCAGCCUGCCGCGUGUGUGAAGAAGGCCUUUUGGUUGUAAAGCACUUUAAGCGAGGAGGAGGCUACCUAGAUUAAUACUCUGGGAUAGUGGACGUUACUCGCAGAAUAAGCACCGGCUAACUCUGUGCCAGCAGCCGCGGUAAUACAGAGGGUGCGAGCGUUAAUCGGAUUUACUGGGCGUAAAGCGUGCGUAGGCGGCUGAUUAAGUCGGAUGUGAAAUCCCUGAGCUUAACUUAGGAAUUGCAUUCGAUACUGGUCAGCUAGAGUAUGGGAGAGGAUGGUAGAAUUCCAGGUGUAGCGGUGAAAUGCGUAGAGAUCUGGAGGAAUACCGAUGGCGAAGGCAGCCAUCUGGCCUAAUACUGACGCUGAGGUACGAAAGCAUGGGGAGCAAACAGGAUUAGAUACCCUGGUAGUCCAUGCCGUAAACGAUGUCUACUAGCCGUUGGGGUCUUUGAGGCUUUAGUGGCGCAGCUAACGCGAUAAGUAGACCGCCUGGGGAGUACGGUCGCAAGACUAAAACUCAAAUGAAUUGACGGA